AUGACCCAAGCUGGCGACGCUCCCCGACAGGUGCCAACCCGACCCUGUCUGUUUCUUUGUUUCGCGGCGGCGGCGGGUGAGAUGGUCGACGUUCCCUCGCGGCGGCGGCAGAGGACCAUCCACGAUCCACCGUACCCCUCCCCAACUGCCAAGUCCUACCCGUCCUGGCUCCAUGGACCACUCCCCUCCUCCUGCCCUGAGCGAAGGAGGGAUUGGGCGAACCUCUCUGACGGGCCGAUGGGGAUUGUCGCCGAGCGUGUCCUCGCCUACGACAUCGCCGACUUCCUCCGCUUCCGCGCCGUUUGCCGCCCGUGGCGGCAAAUCUCCAUGGACCCACGCGCGCACGAUGGCCUAGACCGCCGGUUCCAUCCCCGGCAAUGGGUCCUGCUCCGAGAACGGCUCGCCACGCCCAACCGCAGGCGCUUCCUAAAUUCCUCCACAGGCGAGUGCAUCCACGUGGACAUCCCCGAGCUCCGUGACCACGAGGUGCUCGCCCUCACCCUCGAGGGCCUCCUCGUGCUGCUCCAUAACCAAUACCACGUGCGCCUGCUCAACCCGCUCACUAGACAAAUCCCGCACCUCCCGCCGGUCACCACGCUGCUGCCUUCUGAGGCCCAACACAUGCUUCCAGAUCGCUACAAUUUGGACAUCAACUUUUCAGCGUGGGGCUCCGGCAUUACAGAUGAUGAUACAACAGUGGUGCUCAGCUUCUACCGGCUACGCAUGUUUGGCAUUGCCAAGCCUGGCGAAGACCACUGGACAAUCUGCUUCACGCAUCUCCCAUUAAUCCAGUGGUCAGACCAGAAUUGCAAUCUCUGA
RNAcentral lists this ribosomal RNA (819 nucleotides) under Triticum aestivum (bread wheat). Its description in RNAcentral is "partial small subunit ribosomal RNA". The record is from RNAcentral. Lineage: Eukaryota; Viridiplantae; Streptophyta; Magnoliopsida; Poales; Poaceae.